UCCGCCCACCUCGGCCUCCCAAAGUGCUGGGAUUACAGGUGUGAGUCACCAUGUUCAGCCUCAACUUCCUAAUAUGCGGGUCACUCUUUUUCCCCUGUCAUCCUUGUCCCUUAUACACUGUGCUAUUUGGCAUUUUCCAAAAUUCCCAGGUUUGUGCAUACCUGCAUGAUAUUGUUCAAGAUCCUUUGUCUGUUGAAAUCUUAUUUAUUUUUCACUAACCAGCUGGAGGUCACCUUCUCUAGAUAGCCCAGACUGAUUACCUGACUCACAAUUCAGCACUGCCCUCCUAUACACUGUGGGUUCUCACGAUACGUGGUACUUACCUUUUUAAACUUAUUGUUCUGUUUUCUUUUCCUUCUACUAUGUCAUUUCCUUAUCCUCGUACCUGGACUAUGACUGCUUCAAAUUGGAGCUGGGUCUUGCUUUUCUUACCCUGGCCAUGGACCCAGCAGUGUUCUCAUCAGUGUCCGCUGCUACAUGGAGUCCUGUGAGGAGAGGCCACAUGACAGACACAGAAAAGGCUCUGGGCUCUGAGUCAGAAAGACUGACUUCCGGUCCUGGCUCUGCCGUUCACCGGCUCUGAGUGUAGGUCGGUUAGGUAGCCUCCCCAAACCUCCGCUUCCCCAUUUGUAGAAUGGAUAUUAGAAUGCCGAAGCUUGCGGGGUGAAUGGGAUCAGGUGUGAAGGAGCUUAGCACAGUGCCCGACACGUGGAGAGUGUGCAAGAAAUACCUGUUGCCUUCCUCUCUGUGUCUCCCUCCGCCUUACACACAGGCACUCAGCAGGGGUUUAAUGUGAAUGUACCUCUAUCACCAUCUCUUCCCCGGAGUGCCUCCCUUCGGAGACGAUCCGAUCUGAGCGGGUCCUGGAGUUGUCAUGCGUUCCGGGCGUCUGAUCAUGACACCUCCGGCUUUGAUCUCCUGCAUCCCCAGAGUGCUCCUCCUUAGCCUUCCCUCUGCCUAGACUUCUAGGAGGCCACUCCUUCGUCUGCUGGCUUGGUCCUGCCUCUUGACUGAUAAGUUUGCAAAGAGAAGUAAACACCAAGUAUCGUCAGAAUUCCGAGGGGUCAGCCCCUCAUCAUCCUCGGAGGUACCUGCAGUAACUCUUCAAGAUGUGAAAACAUGAACACCCCUGAGGCAAAACGGCCGUUCUAGAUUCCAGCACAAAGUCUGAGACGUUUCCAGAGCACGUCCGCCAGGCUGACCUCUCCCUUCAGUGGCGAGACUGAGUUGUUGCUGGCCCUGGCGAGUGCCAGCCUCAGACCGUCCAGGGAGUGGGGGGGCACCCUGUGGGGCAGGGGUGGGUGUGCCACCUCCCGGGCUGCUCUUGGCCCGCAGGCCCCACCAGAGAUCAGGGAUGAGGACACAGGGUGACGGGGUCACCGGGGUCACCUCGCUGCCUGGGAGACUGUGCCCUGCAGCACUGAGCAGUAGGAAGCGUGGCGGGGCUGGGGGUGGGGUGCGGGGACAUGUGAAAUCCCAGGGAGAUGGAGACCACCAUCCACUCAGAGAGGCAUCCGCAGGGAUCUGUGAAUUGAGUCAGUCGCAAGGUUGGAUGGUGUAGCUUGUCAUCAAUCUGGAGAAAGUCUAAAUGCCUUCACAGGCGUAGCAGUGUGCUCGGGCUGCCAUAAUAAAUCCCAGAGACUGGGUGAUUUAAGCAACAGACGUUUAUUUCUCACGGUUCUGAAGGCUGGAGGUCAAAGGCCAAGGUGCCAACAGGGUUGGUUUUUGGUGAGGUCCCUCACUCUUCCUCGCUUGCAGACGGCCAGAAGCUGCUUUUUCUCUGCGUUCUCACACGGCCUUUCCUCUGGCAUGCAGAGAGAAAGAACACUCUGUUAGCUCUUCCUCUUCUUAGAAGAACACCUGCCCUGUAGGAUUAGGGCCCCACUCAUGACUUACUUAACCUUAAUGACCUCCUUGAAGGCCCUGUCUCCAAACACAGUCACACCGGGGUAAGGCCUUCAACACGUAUAUUUUGCGGAGACGCAGUUCAGUCCGUAACAGCAGGCACGUGGGGUCUGAGGAUCAUCCGGCCUCGGCCAGCUUCCCUGCACCUCACUCCCUCCCAGAACGGUCGUCUGCUCUGGGUCUGACGUACGCCUUGCCGUUCUCUAAGCACAUCACACCCUUGCCUGGCCCAACGUGCCCUGCAAGUGCUUUCCCUCUUCCCGAAAUCCCUCCUCCCCGGCCGACUCCUGCCUCCCUGAGCACCAGCGCUGCCACCACCCCCUCCUCAGGAAGCCCUGGUGGGCAAGGGGGCAUCUGGGUUCCCCCGUCACCUCUCCCGUCACCCGCUCUCUGAUGUUAGUUUUCCUGCCAUCUCUCCCUCCCCUGGCUGCUCCCCGAGGCCCUGUCUGUAUUGUCGCCAGGGCCU
Non-coding RNA from Macaca mulatta (Rhesus monkey), 2371 nucleotides. Lineage: Eukaryota; Metazoa; Chordata; Mammalia; Primates; Cercopithecidae. The record is from RefSeq and is a predicted model, not a curated record.